This 2343-nucleotide long non-coding RNA is filed under the name Homo sapiens (human). Its description in RNAcentral is "HSALNT0303928". Lineage: Eukaryota; Metazoa; Chordata; Mammalia; Primates; Hominidae. The record is from RNAcentral.
CCAGGCUGGUCUCGAACUCCUGACUUCAGGUGAUCCUCCCGCCAAGGCCUCCCAAAAUCCUGGGAUUACGGCCAUCGUGCCGGGCCAGCAGCACAGCGUCUUAAGCAAUUUUGGAUAUGAAUACCUUCGAGACGAGCUUGCGCUCCCACAGACCCCACCACUCCUACAGUCUGUAAUUACCCCCAGCUGCACCCAUAUGCGUAGCUUCCCUGGUCCAGAGGGACGUGCGUGUGUGACCCUGCAGGAUAGUGGGGUGGCCCUGCAUGGCAUGGCUGCCAGUGCUAAGAGGGGUGUGCCGCCAGCCUCUGAUCCCUCUCACCGGCGGGCCCCCCAUCAUCAUCACUAUAUGAUGACCUGAGGCGUCCAGGCUCCCGAGGAAAGCCUGCCGCCCUGGUUCCUACAAGGGACGCCUAAACACAGAGUCCUAAACACAGAGUCCUAAACACAUGCAGGGUUGGAGGGAGACUGACGAACUCAACUACCAGCCUGCAGUCGGCAGCCAUCAGCGGAUUGCAGGUACCCCGCGUGCGUGUCUCGGCUACAGUGCGGAAGACAAGAGGCCUUAGGAAGUGGGAACGGGCGCCAUCUGGUGGUCAUCUCUGGAGUGACAGCAGAGAACUGGAACAUAUUUUAUAUUUUGUUUCCACUGCUCCAUGACUUGACUAAAGCAGAAACAAUUCGGAGAGUACUGUAGUAUUAAAUACCUAAGGGCCACACCAGGCCAGAAAGCAACAAAAAAGAAAUGCUAAAAAGAAGUUCUUCAGAGAGGGAUCCAAGAAGGAAUAAGUGAAGGGCGGUGCUCCAGGUGUGAAUGGAGACGACUUCGAGCUCACUGUGCUGAGAAACUGCUUUUCAGAGGGCUUCUACAGAGCCCACAGCUCAUCUUCUAGAAGUCAUCUAUAGCUACUGUCAGUUUCUAGGCUUCCAAGGACACCCUUCAGCCUACUGCAAUGCAGCUUCUUACCCUACUCCUCCAUGGACAGAUGACAUCCAUUUCUGAAAUCCAGGGGCCACACUUCAAUCUAUCUCAUGAGGUAUCUCUGCUUGGUGGACACCGAUGUUCUCCCUUCCUGAAGACUCUGCUUCUCUGACUUCUGUGAGCAUAGCCUCUUCUGGUCACUCGUUCUCUGGCAUAGACUUCUUCUCUGUGGGCUGGCAGCGAACAGUGGGGCCUUCAGCAUCAUUAUUGCUCAGGUCAGUACAAAGGACCACAUAAGGGAGUAUGAUAGUGAGGAGCCAAGAUCACUCCACAUCUCGAGAAGAGAUGAUAGCAGCCUGGAAUGGUUUGGUGGCCAUGGGAAUAAAGAGAAAGGGACUGAUUUGACAGAUGUUUAAUGGGUAAACAUCACAGGAUUUGGCAAUUGGCUAUGGAAGAUAAAUGGGAGGAAGGAGUCUAGGAUGACUGUUGUGUUUCAUCUUGUUGGGGGGUGACUUGACUAGGCUGAUGACUUUGCUCAAUCCAAUAGGGGAUACAAAAACAGCAAAGACAUGAAAGAGAAGAUGAUGAUAGUGGUAUCCCAGAAAAUGAGAGGGUAACCAACAGCACCAAAAGUCAGGCAAUCAGAUAAACCAGUUUCUAAGCUGAGGAAGGGGAGUGACAAUUCUUUCAAGAAGAUUGUCCACAGAGAGAAACAAUAGGGUAAUAACCAGGAGUGCAGGGUUGAAGGGGCGUUUUUUGGCUGAGGGCAACGGACCAGUAGAGGCUGAGCAGCUGAAAGUACAGGUGCCAAGGGGGUGGCUGAAGGAGUAAGAUCCCAUUGAUGGGAUGAAGUGGGAUCAUAACAGAUGACAGGUUGAACAGAAAGGCUAUCUCCAUGCAUGAGGCAGCAGGAUGCAGAUGUACACACUCCCUUGGAGGCUCACAGUGGGAAGUGAAAGUUCCUGCAUUUUGAACUUUCCUCCCUCUGUGAAUUAGGAGGUGAGGUUAUCUAUUAGGCACGUGGGUGAGUAAGCAGUUGGAACCAAGUGGUGAAUGUUUAUAGAAGAGGGUUCUGACCAAAGACAAAGAUUGCUCAAUGGCACUGAGGUCCAACCGCAGUUGAAUGCCCUAGAUUCAUAACAGCCACAAUCUGUACACUUCUAUCAUUUUUAGUUGUUAUAUUCUACACCCCAAGCAGAUACACACAGGGAUAAACUGAGUCAGGCAAUUCAGGCUUGGAAGCUUGCAAAGCUGGUAGAGUUUGAGGAUGAGGGGUUUAAGGAGCUGAGGGCAUGAAUGAGAAGUCUGAGUUGACCACAGGGCACCAGUUGCAUAAGGUAGAGAAUGGGGUUAAAAAGGGAAAAACAAAAGAAAAAACCGGCUGGGCGUGGUGGCUUACACCUGUAAUCCCAGCAUUUUGAGAG